AUACAAUUCAUAGUAUUCAUGAAUGGCCUGUGAUCUGGGCCUCGUGAGUUGCAAUUUGGUGACCUAGUUCUAUCAUCUUCUGCAUUCCUAGUAAUAAAUGUAGAAGAAGCGGUUUCUCGUUCCAAGCAUGUAAAUUGUUUGCAACAAGCAUUUGAAUGUGGUUUCCUCCCUCCUAUCUCCCACACUUGUUACCCUCAUUAUUAUUGUCACACCCAGGUCAAAUGUCAUAUUUUAAUGGUUGCUUAAUCUUUCCUACGAAUUGAAUUCAGCUUUCACAAUGUUUGUUUUUAGUUCAUUGUUGUUUUGUUUAUCUUACACUAGUGUGAUUGAUGGGUCGGAAGUAGGGAAUUUCAAACAAAAUUCACACUCAGUGUCUGGAAUGCAGCAUAUACAAAUAAGGAACUAAUGAACAUUGGUGAAAAAGACAAAAACCUAAACCUCAGGGGACCAAAAGAAAUAAGGUGGGAUUUUCCAGAGAGCAGGUUUAGCAGCUAAGGAAAUGUAAUUGUGGGAAGACCAGCAUAUUUAACUCCAUCACUAAAGUAAUAACACACCUGAACCAGCACAUCCAGGUCUUCAGGAUUACUUGAAAAUUACAGGCGGGUGUUUAAUGAGGGUUUGAUUAGGCCUUGGCUAUGAUACUGUUGGGUGUGGAACCAUAUGUAAAGUAACAUGAAAGCAGUAAAACUCCAAUAAAGCAUCAGUAAACUUUACUUCACAAAUCUUCUUAAUCACUGUUGAUUCAGUCUCGCAUACGGCAGAUUUGGGAUUCAAUAUUCAUUUUAGGUUCAUUAAAAGAUCCACAUCUCAUGGGCCUGACCAUUAUAAAUAUUUUUUGGGGGAUGACUCAGUGGAUUAGGAAUUCAUCACAACAGUGGAAACUUCAUUUCUUGUAAAGAGCAUUUCUUGCACAUGUGCCAAAGAUUCCAGUCAGCGUUCAUCCACUAACUGGAAAGUCAAAGGAUCUUAUACCACGGCUGACCCAAGACCUGUCUCUUCCAGGGAAGAUGGGUUCUGCAUGUACGAGGCUGUGUCAGACUCAUCGUUUUCAUGCAGGUGGUCUGGGUCCAGAAUCGGUGACAUCUAUUGUAAUAAAGGGAUUAUUAAUUAAACAGCACAUCUAAAGUAUUACUUUAAAUA
Non-coding RNA from Paramisgurnus dabryanus, 1140 nucleotides. The record is from RefSeq and is a predicted model, not a curated record. Lineage: Eukaryota; Metazoa; Chordata; Actinopteri; Cypriniformes; Cobitidae.